UACGUAGGCGGAAAAUUAAGUCAGUAGUGAAAUCCCGCAGCUUAACUGUGGAACUGUUAUUGAUACUGGUUUUCUUGAAUAUAGUUGAGGUAGGCGGAAUGUGUAAUGUAGCGGUGAAAUGCUUAGAUAUUACACAGAACACCGAUUGCGAAGGCAGCUUACUAAGCUAUGAUUGACGCUGAGGUACGAAAGCGUGGGGAGCAAACAGGAUUAGAUACCCUGGUAGUCC
Molecule: ribosomal RNA, 229 nt
Filed under: uncultured bacterium
Lineage: Bacteria
Description: partial 16S ribosomal RNA
Rfam family: Bacterial small subunit ribosomal RNA
Source: RNAcentral